AUGAUUCCAGGACCUGGAAUCAUACCAGCCGAUGGGAUAUAUAUACCUUUCUGGGAUCAAGUGCAUCCUAACUCACCUGCGCAGGAUUACCAUAUAACUGGAAUUAACCCAUGCAAGUCGAAGAAGGAUUGGCCGGUGCUGCCGGCUAGCGUCAAGUUCGAUCCAACAGACCAGGAGCUGAUCGAGCACCUUGAGGCCAAAGUGAGUGCUGACAACGUGAGAUCUCACCCUCUCAUCGAUUUGUUCAUACCAACCAUCGACAGUGAGCACGGCAUAUGCUACACCCAUCCUGAGAAACUUCCAGGUAUCACACUGAGUGGCCUAAGCAAGCAUUUCUUCCAGCGCAAUUCCAGGGCGUUCAAAAGGGGCACGUGGACGCGUCGCAAGAUACAGUCGGAGUGCGGCAUGCACGCGAUGUGGCACAACACCGGCAAUACCUUGCCGGUGAUGGUCAACGGCCGGCAAACGGGCAGCAAAAAGGUUCUGGUGCUGCACACCAACAAGAACUUCGACUAG
This 516-nucleotide ribosomal RNA is filed under the name Triticum aestivum (bread wheat). RNAcentral's name for it is "partial small subunit ribosomal RNA". Lineage: Eukaryota; Viridiplantae; Streptophyta; Magnoliopsida; Poales; Poaceae. The record is from RNAcentral.